GGACAGCCAGUUAGCGCGAAGAGGCGUGGCCACAAGGAGGCUGUUGCGGACAAGCUGGAGCUACGGUUGGACUUGAGGCCUGGAUCAGCGGGGAAUAGAAACCCACAGAAAGUUCUGGAGCGCCAGGCGGGAAUCAGGUGCUGAAACCAGCGAGUCCUCCCGUAAGGAGGAGGCUUCCGGACGCUUCGGGGCCCAGAGACUCAGACGCGGCCCGGGGUUUCGUGACGCACUCGGCUUCGGGGCGGGACCGGCGCUGGCCAAGAUGGAGGCCAACGUGUUCCGCUUCCGAGAUGCCCGCUCUGCUCCGGAUCCCGUGCUCGAAGCCGGGCCGGUGGCCUUCGGGUCGCAGCCGGUGCCUCUGGUGCUGGACAACGGGUCGUUCCAGGCUCGGGCCGGGUGGGCGUGCCCCGGGCCGGACCCCGGUCCCGAGCCUCGCCUGCAGUUCCGCGCCGUGUGUGCGCGCGGCCGCGGCGGGGCGCGCGGCGGGCCGGGGCCGCAGGUGGGCAACGCGCUGGGAAGCCUGGAGCCUCUGCGCUGGAUGCUGCGCUCGCCCUUCGAUCGCAACGUCCCGGUCAACCUGGAACUGCAGGAACUGCUGCUGGACUACAGCUUCCAGCACCUCGGCGUCUCCUCGCAGGGCUGCGUUGAUCAUCCCAUAGUUCUGACAGAGGCUGUGUGUAACCCCCUCUACUCCCGUCAAAUGAUGUCGGAGCUCCUUUUCGAAUGCUACAGGAUCCCGAAGGUUGCCUAUGGGAUAGACAGCCUCUUCAGCUUCUACCACAACGUGCCCAAGAAUGCCCUUUCCAGCGGCCUCAUCAUUUCAUCCGGCUACCAGUGCACACACAUCUUACCGGUCUUGGAAGGGAGGCUCGAUGCCAAAAACUGCAAGCGCAUCAAUCUUGGAGGAAGUCAGGCAGCUGGCUACCUGCAGCGGCUUCUCCAGCUGAAGUAUCCAGGCCACCUGGCAGCCAUCACACUCAGCCGCAUGGAGGAGAUCCUGCAGGAGCAUAGCUACAUUGCCGAGGACUACGGGGCAGAAUUGCAGAAGUGGCAGUGUCCCGAUUACUACGAGAACAAUGUCCACAAGAUGCAGCUCCCGUUCUCCAGCAAGCUCCUGGGCAGCACACUGACGGCGGAGGAGAAGCAGGAGCGGCGGCAGCAGCAGCUGCGCCGGCUGCAAGAGCUCAACGCCCGGCGGAGGGAGGAGAAGCUGCAGCUGGAUCAGGAGCGGCUGGAGCGGCUGUUGUAUGUGCAGGCAGGAGCUCCUAGAGGAAGGACAGAUGGACCAGUUUCACAAAGCUCUGAUCGAGCUGAACAUGGACUCCCCAGAAGAACUGCAGUCCUACAUACAGAAGCUCACCUUGGCGGUGGAGCAGGCCAAACAGAAAAUCCUGCAGGCCGAAGCCAGCCUGGAGGUGGAUGUGGUAGACAGCAAGCCAGAGACCCCUGACCUGGAGCCGCUGGAACCCACCAUGGAGGAUGUGGAGAACAUCAGUGAUUUCGAGCCUUUGUUCUCGGAGGAAACGCCCGAAGUGGAGAAGCCGCAAGUCACCACAGUCCAGCCCGUGUUUAACUUGGCAGCGUAUCAUCAGCUGUCUGUUGGGACAGAGAGGAUCCGUGCUCCGGAGAUUAUUUUCCAGCCAUCCCUCAUAGGAGAGGAGCAGGCGGGGAUUGCAGAGACCCUCCAUUUUGUCCUGGACAGGUACCCAAAGGCCAUUCAGGACACCCUGGUUCAGAACGUUUUCCUUACCGGUGGGAACGUGAUGUACCCAGGCAUGAAGGCCCGAGUGGAGAAGGAGCUGCUGGAGAUGAGGCCCUUCCAGUCCUCCUUCCAGGUUCAGCUCGCCUCGAACCCUGUGCUGGAUGCGUGGUACGGUGCCCGUGACUGGGCCUUGGAUCACCUAGAAGACAGUGGAGCCUGGGUCACCAGGAAGGACUAUGAAGAAAAGGGGGGCGAGUACCUCAAGGAACAUUGCGCCUCCAACACGUACGUCCCCAUCCGCCUGCCUAAGCAGGCCUCACGUGCCUCAGAGACGCAGACUUCCGGCCGAGGCUCCAGCGCCAGUGGAAGUGGGGCUGGUGAUCAGGCCUAGCAGGGGGGACGCCAGAUGACCUUGUGCUUCACCCUUGCCAUGGAGGCAGUGUUUGGGACAAGGACAGUGCCCCAUGGUGCUGCCUGGGUCUGACAGCCUUGUUUGGCCAGUGACUGGAUCUCCCCUGGGAGCCCAGCAGAGGAGAGCAGGUGAUCUACCUCAGUGAAGGACACAGUGGCCUCUGGCACCAAGAACUGUGGACAAGCUGGGGGACUGCCUUCCUCAGCAGUGAGGGAAACAGCUGGAGGGAGAAGUGGGCAGUGCUGCUCUUUGCACUGUUUUGUUUUGUUUUUAAAGCUCUAAAGUUA
RNA transcript from Mus musculus (house mouse), 2401 nucleotides. It is a transcript of the gene named ARP5 actin-related protein 5, with no coding region annotated. The transcript is spliced from 9 exons. The record is from RefSeq and is marked validated. NCBI's taxonomy places the organism in Eukaryota, Metazoa, Chordata, Mammalia, Rodentia, Muridae.